This 890-nucleotide long non-coding RNA is filed under the name Heterocephalus glaber (naked mole-rat). RNAcentral describes it as "lncRNA (ENSHGLG00000034834.1)". Lineage: Eukaryota; Metazoa; Chordata; Mammalia; Rodentia; Bathyergidae. The record is from RNAcentral.
ACCCGUCACAGCCAGGGAGGCCCAGGCUGCCGCUCACAGAACAGCUGAGACAUGAAAGUGACCUGAGUCGCCACCUGUGACCAGUGUGCUGCCACCCUCGGAGGCAUCUGGACAGCCCAUGGGGAGGGGCGCAGGGACCAGGUCUCUUCUUACGCUGUUGGCAGCAAUCCUCAGGUGUGUCUUCACGCCCAGCCAUGCAGGCUCAGCUCAGCUGGACGCUCCAAGGUGACCAUUAGUCACCACACUAGACCACAGGCCUGCCCACCGCGCCCGGCUCACCCUGACCAUUUUCCAGUGUGCAGAUCACAUUUCCGACACUGUUCAAGCACAGCUGCCAUCCGCUUCUGAAAUGUUCCCUCUGCGCCUCCCCACCUCCCGGCCAGGUGGAGCAGGACCCACAGUGCAGCGGCGGUGCAUUCCCUCGGGGGGCGUGGCUGCCCUCCCUGGGCUGACGUUUGCUGUGUGCAGUGCCUCCUCAGACCAUGGGGGCUCCUGGCCUCUGAGGUCACGGCCCGGUGACCCUGUGGGCAGCCUCCAGGCGCCACCUGCAUGGUGGUGCACACCUGUCAUCCCAGCUCGGGGGAGGCUGAGGCAGGAGGAUCCCUGUGAAUUCGAGGCCAGCCUGGGCUACACAGCAAGACCCUGUCUCAGAAAACAAAUGAGCAGAAGAGCUUGUCUUGGGAGCCUGACUACUUUGCUGGCUGGCCUCACCCUCAGCGCACUUGGGCCAGGCGCCUUGGAGCAGGGAGAGCUGGAACCUCUGCCCAGGAUCCACAUUGCCAUUCGCCGGCAGAAUUUCUUCUUCAUCAGGGAAACCUCUUUUGUUCUUUUUUUUUCACCGGGAACUGAACCCAGGGCCUUUGCCCCGAGCUCCAUGUCCAGCCCUCUUU